AGAGUUUGAUUCUGGCUCAGAACGAACGCUGGCGGCAGGCCUAACACAUGCAAGUCGAACGACAUAGUGGCAGACGGGUGAGUAACGCGUGGGAACGUACCUUUCGCUACGGAAUAGCUCUUGGAAACGAGUGGUAAUACCGUAUACGCCCUUCGGGGGAAAGAUUUAUCGGCGAAAGAUCGGCCCGCGUUAGAUUAGGUAGUUGGUGGGGUAAUGGCCUACCAAGACUACGAUCUAUAGCUGGGCUGAGAGGAUGAUCAGCCACACUGGGACUGAGACACGGCCCAGACUCCUACGGGAGGCAGCAGUGGGGAAUCUUGCACAAUGGGCGAAAGCCUGAUGCAGCCAUGCCGCGUGAAUGAUGAAGGCCUUAGGGUUGUAAAAUUCUUUCGCUAGGGAUGAUAAUGACAGUACCUAGUAAAGAAGCCCCGGCUAACUUCGUGCCAGCAGCCGCGGUAAUACGAAGGGGGCUAGCGUUGUUCGGAAUUACUGGGCGUAAAGCGCACGUAGGCGGACUUUUAAGUCAGAUGUGAAAUCCCGGGGCUCAACCUCGGAACUGCAUUUGAAACUGGAAGUCUGGAGUUCAGGAGAGGUUAGCGGAAUACCGAGUGUAGAGGUGAAAUUCGUAGAUAUUCGGUGGAACACCAGUGGCGAAGGCGGCUAACUGGACUGAUACUGACGCUGAGGUGCGAAAGUGUGGGGAGCAAACAGGAUUAGAUACCCUGGUAGUCCACACCGUAAACGAUGACAGCUAGUUGUUGGCAGGCAUGCCUGUCGGUGACGCAGCUAACGCAUUAAGCUGUCCGCCUGGGGAGUACGGCCGCAAGGGUAAAACUCAAAGAAAUUGACGGGGGCCCGCACAAGCGGUGGAGCAUGUGGUUUAAUUCGAAGCAACGCGCAGAACCUUACCUACCCUUGACAUCCCGAUCGCGGUUUCCAGAGAUGGAUUCCUUCAGUUAGGCUGGAUCGGUGACAGGUGCUGCAUGGCUGUCGUCAGCUCGUGUCGUGACAUGUUGGGUUAAGUCCCGCAACGAGCGCAACCCUCAUCCUUAGUUGCCAUCACGUUUGGGUGGGCACUCUAAGGAAACUGCCGGUGGCAAGCCGGAGGAAGGUGGGGAUGACGUCAAGUCCUCAUGGCCCUUACGGGUAGGGCUACACACGUGCUACAAUGGCAGUGACAAUGGGAUAAUCCCAAAAAGCUGUCUCAGUUCAGAUUGUCCUCUGCAACUCGAGGGCAUGAAGGUGGAAUCGCUAGUAAUCGUGGAUCAGCAUGCCACGGUGAAUACGUUCCCGGGCCUUGUACACACCGCCCGUCACAUCAUGGGAAUUGGCUC
Molecule: ribosomal RNA, 1334 nt
Filed under: Hyphomonas adhaerens
Lineage: Bacteria; Pseudomonadati; Pseudomonadota; Alphaproteobacteria; Hyphomonadales; Hyphomonadaceae
Description: 16S ribosomal RNA
Rfam family: Bacterial small subunit ribosomal RNA
Source: RNAcentral